GGCCUGUUGGUCAAGAGGUUAAGACGCCGCCCUCUCAAGGCGGAAUCACGGGUUCAAUUCCCGUACAGGCUG
Molecule: transfer RNA, 72 nt
Organism: Eubacterium sp. CAG:156
Lineage: Bacteria; Bacillati; Bacillota; Clostridia; Eubacteriales; Eubacteriaceae
Rfam family: tRNA
About the family: Transfer RNA (tRNA) molecules are approximately 80 nucleotides in length. Their secondary structure includes four short double-helical elements and three loops (D, anti-codon, and T loops). Further hydrogen bonds mediate the characteristic L-shaped molecular structure. tRNAs have two regions of fundamental functional importance: the anti-codon, which is responsible for specific mRNA codon recognition, and the 3' end, to which the tRNAs corresponding amino acid is attached (by aminoacyl-tRNA synthetases). tRNAs cope with the degeneracy of the genetic code in two manners: having more than one tRNA (with a specific anti-codon) for a particular amino acid; and 'wobble' base-pairing, i.e. permitting non-standard base-pairing at the 3rd anti-codon position.
Source: Rfam